UCUUCGGCAAUGGGCGCAAGCCUGACCGAGCGACGCCGCGUGCGGGAUGAAGGCCUUCGGGUUGUAAACCGCUGUCGUAGAGGAGGAAAUGCAGGGGGGUUCUCCCUUCUGUUUGACCUAUUCUAGGAGGAAGUACGGGCUAAGUUCGUGCCAGCAGCCGCGGUAAGACGAACCGUACAAACGUUACUCGGAAUUACUGGGCUUAAAGGGUGCGUAGGCUGCGCGGAAAGUUGGGUGUGAAAGCCCUCGGCUCAACCGAGGAAUUGCACUCAAAACUACCGUGCUUGAGGGAGACAGAGGUAAGCGGAACUCAAGGUGGAGCGGUGAAAUGCGUUGAUAUCUUGAGGAACACCGGUGGCGAAGGCGGCUUACUGGGUCUUUUCUGACGCUGAGGCACGAAAGCUAUGGUAGCAAACGGGAUUAGAUACCCCGGUAGUCUUAGCUGUAAACGAUGAGCACUUGAUUGGAGGGUCCUCCAUAGCCUUCCAGUCGUAGCGAAAGUGUUAAGUGCUCCGCCUGGGGA
This 523-nucleotide ribosomal RNA is filed under the name uncultured bacterium. RNAcentral describes it as "bacterial SSU rRNA". It matches the Rfam family "Bacterial small subunit ribosomal RNA", at positions 362 to 879 of the family's 1533-position model. The record is from RNAcentral.